Molecule: ribosomal RNA, 621 nt
Filed under: Bacillus subtilis
Lineage: Bacteria; Bacillati; Bacillota; Bacilli; Caryophanales; Bacillaceae
Description: bacterial SSU rRNA
Rfam family: Bacterial small subunit ribosomal RNA
Source: RNAcentral
GCUUGCUCCCUGAUGUUAGCGGCGGACGGGUGAGUAACACGUGGGUAACCUGCCUGUAAGACUGGGAUAACUCCGGGAAACCGGGGCUAAUACCGGAUGGUUGUUUGAACCGCAUGGUUCAAACAUAAAAGGUGGCUUCGGCUACCACUUACAGAUGGACCCGCGGCGCAUUAGCUAGUUGGUGAGGUAACGGCUCACCAAGGCAACGAUGCGUAGCCGACCUGAGAGGGUGAUCGGCCACACUGGGACUGAGACACGGCCCAGACUCCUACGGGAGGCAGCAGUAGGGAAUCUUCCGCAAUGGACGAAAGUCUGACGGAGCAACGCCGCGUGAGUGAUGAAGGUUUUCGGAUCGUAAAGCUCUGUUGUUAGGGAAGAACAAGUACCGUUCGAAUAGGGCGGUACCUUGACGGUACCUAACCAGAAAGCCACGGCUAACUACGUGCCAGCAGCCGCGGUAAUACGUAGGUGGCAAGCGUUGUCCGGAAUUAUUGGGCGUAAAGGGCUCGCAGGCGGUUUCUUAAGUCUGAUGUGAAAGCCCCCGGGCUCAACCGGGGAGGGGUCAUUGGAAACUGGGGAACUUGAGUGCAGAAGAGGAGAGUGAAUUCCACGUGUAGCGGU